Molecule: long non-coding RNA, 1290 nt
Organism: Callithrix jacchus (white-tufted-ear marmoset)
Lineage: Eukaryota; Metazoa; Chordata; Mammalia; Primates; Cebidae
Source: RefSeq, a predicted model, not a curated record
AAAAAAAGCCGCACUAAAAACUUGACAUUUCUCUUUAUUUCACAAUCUGAGACUUAGAUAACAAGUAUCAUGAACUUUUGAUUCUGUGUUGCUCUUAAUAACUCCCAAUUUAAUUACAAGGGCUAUUUAAAAAUUCACACAUUUAUGCUGAGAAUGAAUUACAUAUGGUUUCUAGACUCAAGUAAAAUGAACACAAGUACUAUGUACAGUAUCAUGGUAGGUAAACUGCUUGUUAAUUUUUUUUUUCCAGAUCAGUUUACAUAGUGUAACUAUAGCUUUAUUUUAUCUACCUUUAAGCUCAAUUCACCCAACAGUAAAGGAUCUUAACUGGUAACAAGUCUAGAUGACUGAUAAGAUAGCAUCACGUGGUACAAAUGGAGGCUUCAUUCUCUCUCUUUUUUUAAAGAAACCUCUUUAGACAGGCACUUGACUCAAAGACACUUUUGGACACCAGAAGCCUAAGGCACUGUUUCUGAUCCACUGAUGACAAAAAUAAAUGAUUUCAAGCUGAGAAACAUUUUCUCCCACAGGAUAAGGAUAAUUUUAUUCAUGGACAAAAUCCCCUAUAGAGGAGAUCUUAUAAUCACAUCACCUAUUACCAUAAUCAUCAAAUAUAUACAACAUCUAGGUCCAAUUAAUGGAAGAUGGGACCAUAUGGUUGUCAGUUACAGUGACGUGGUAAGAAGAUCAUGCUUUGUGUCUUCAGUCCAAGUGCUUUACAACCAUGAAGCUUCUCAGUACCUUUGCGAACUAGUGCAGAUGAACCUUUGUGGAAAUAUCUCUCCAGAAACAUUCAUUUUUGUGAUGAAAGGCUAUCACCAUAGAAUUUCCAUCACCCAGUGAACCUGCAUACAUAAUAGCCAGAGGAUGCCAAUCUGUGGAUUUUGAUUUAUUACAAGGAGCAAAUAAUGUCCUCCCAUUUGAGGCAGUCCUAACUUCAGUUUUAAGAUGUCAUCCUGCUACCUGAUGUUGAUUAAAUAUGACAUCCUGUUAUCACAAAGGACACUUUCCAGAGACCAAGUAUGACAGCAAAAGCCAAGUCAUGUCUGAUUCAUCAGUUUUGGGAAGAACAUAGGCUUUUCACUGAAUAAUUUCCAUCUAUUCCUUGGUUAGAAACGGGGUUUUACCAUGUUGUCCAGUCUGGUCUCAAACUCUUGGCCUCAAGUGAUCCACCCACCUCAGCCUCCCAAAGUGCUAGGAUUACAGGUAUGAGACACUGCACCCGGCCUCUGAUUCCUUUUUAACUCCCUACAGUUACUAGUACACAGUGCCUUCCAUCCAGAUUCUCAA